RNAcentral lists this long non-coding RNA (3557 nucleotides) under Amborella trichopoda. RNAcentral describes it as "long non-coding RNA (ATRI_LNC004613)". The record is from RNAcentral. Lineage: Eukaryota; Viridiplantae; Streptophyta; Magnoliopsida; Amborellales; Amborellaceae.
GAGAGAGAAAGAGUAGUUACAUGAAAGAUUAAUAAUUUCAUAUUAUAGGCUAAAAACAUUUAUUUUCUCAUAAACACUCAGAUUCUACUUUUCCGGCUUCAAAAGAACACAGCACACAUAAAUGAAAUCACGGAAACCAUAGUUUUAAUCAGUUUUUCAGAAAAUCAGGCCCCGGCUCACACAAUCCCACUCAGGCGAUUCUCAACUGGAUAGGUUUAUAUUUAACAAAGACAUUAAGAAAAGACGCUAGAAACUGCAGAUCCGGGGAUCUUCGAACCAUAAUCUCCUAGAAGAUGAUCCAGAUCUGACUUGGGUGACUCUGAGUUGGAUCAAUAACUGGUUAUAGUAUGAAGAUUUCACAUGAAAACUUAUCCAUCAGCUCAGGAUACUCGAACCAUAUCCAGAUAAACUUAUCAAUCCAGUUACAAAUUGAACGGGAACCCAAGCUUCUUUCAAUGAUUUCGAACGGGAAUCCAAGCUUCUUUCAAUGAUUUCGAAGAAGAAGACACACAGGCUAUGUAGAAUGACUCAGAUUUUUGCUUACCUCUCUUUCUAACACACACUAAGAAAUCAGUAAAAUUUCAUACAUUUGCUGAGAAUUAAAGCAGGACAAGCAAUUCAAUAAAACCAGGUUGUUUAAAACAAAUUAUGCAAGGUACCAUAAAAUUGAGAGAAAUGAAGUGAAGUGAAGAAAAGAAAUACAGCAACCGUUCAAAGACACAGGAAUUGAUUAUAACCAGGUUAUUAUAAAGUCAUUUUCUCUCGAGAAAGUAAAACAACAGAUGAUAAAUCAUUUCAGCAUUGAGAAGGAAAAUCAUGAGAGAACAAUGACUCUUGUAGACUUUUAGUACCAGAUGGAAAUUAUUAGGCAAAAGGAGAUAAAAGGAUCAAUGGCGUUGAGAAAAACCACCGUAGCCCAUAAAUAUUUAGCUCUCGAUUGGAAGAUGUUAGCAAACAUCAAAUUUGUUCUGUGAUAUAACUUUCAAGCAUCAACUUCUUAUCAAAUCUCAAACUUUGCAAGCAGGUAUAUUGUGUGAGUAUGUGACAGAGAGAGUAGAGACGGAGAGAAAGAGAGAGAGAGUCUUGAUCUUUCCAUGCACAUUCUCAAGAAACAAGGUGAGAGAGAAAGUGUUGAUUUUUCCAUUCAAUGGCACAUUCCAAAGAAACAAGGUGCAAAACUUUAUCUUUCCAUUAAAAGUAAGGAUAAUGCAAGCAGCUACAUCAUCAGUUCCCUUUGGAGAACAUAAGGGAAAAGAAGAAGAAAAACAAAAAACUGUACAACUUUUACAUAAAACUAACUCAUAAACUCUGUAACUCAAGCCCACAACAAAAACAACGACACCCCAUUCCAACUCUAACCACCCUCUGUACAAUCACCAUCCAAUCCCCUGUUUCUCUCUCUAGAAACACCUUGGUUCUCUCUAUCUAAGAACCCAUUUUUCUCUCUCUAAAAACCCACUUCUAGAAAGAAUUCAUCUCCAAAAUGUAAGUCUUCCUCUUCACCAAUAGUCUAGCCACCUCCCCAUAAGCUCCAUCAAAAGCCAUGGACACAAAUUGAUCAGCCUCCUCUUUCCCCAUUGGUCUAUCACUCGGCCUUAUAAAAACCAAAGUAGCUCCUUUAAAACCCAUACCGUUAGGAAGCUCGAUAUACGGAGCAUACCAGAGCUUCAUGCUCAAAGCUGGAACUUGGGUUCUAUUAGCACUUGCAGAGGCUGAAAUGGGUUUAACCCUAAUUUCACUCAAUUGCCCUGAAUUCAUAGAAAGAAUUCCUUGAUUAUCACAAUCGGUUACAGUCAGUCUCUCUAAGCCUGGGUGCUCUGAAAUUAUUUGUUGAAGAACAAAAUGCCUAGCUGAAGCAGCAAUUAAAGAGCUAAUGGUCCAAACCACCCUAAGUUUGAGACCUCCAUUAAUAUAGAAGCUCUCUGGUAUGGUGCCUGAUUCAUCUUCUCCGUAAAAGGCCAUAUCAAGAUCAUCAGAAACCCUAGUUUUCUCUCUCACAAAACCUGGCUCGAUAACACUGGAAGCCCCUAAAAUUACGCAGCUCUCUAGACUGGUCCCAAAUUCAGCUCUCCAUUUGAGGAGAACCCCAUCUCCAAACCCUAGCUCGCCAUUAGGGAGUUGGAUUUUCAGGGUCCUAAUGCUUGAGAAACUCUUCAAAACCUCAACUGGAGAAUGGUGGGUGACUUCUGAAACCCUAAUCUUUUGAGGCGUUACAAGCUUAUGAAAGGCUUCGAGGGACUUAACAAAAGAGCCCAUCACCAUUUUGAGGAGAUGAGAGAGAAAGCCUCGGGUUCUAGAGUUUAUUGGAUCUUCAUCAUCAGUGAUUACACAGUCUACUUUGAUCAAAAUAUCUUCAACCAUGGGGAUGAGAGAGAAAAACCUUUUGGAAACAGAAAGGCAGAGCCCUAAGGAUUUGAUAUCCUGAACCUUGUUAAAUAUAAGGAGGAGCACUGAGUCAGGGAGUCUUUCGAAGUGAUCUGCGAGUAGGGGUAGGUGAGAGCUGACCUUACCUGGAAAUGGCUCCAUGAGUGGAUGGUCCUAAGUUGCAGAGAUCUGCAAUAAUGAAUCGGUUCUAAUGGUGGGUGCUGUAAAAAUCAAAUCUUCAUGGAGUUGCAGAGAGAGACUUGCAGAGAGAGAGAGGGGAAAGUAGAGUAGAUGGUAGAGGAUUUAAGGAAUUUCAGCGAUGAAAAGUAGCGUGGAAUUAAGUUUUAAGGAAUUGUGUAGAGAGAGAGAGACUUUUGAGGUGGGUCUAAGAAGGAGGCGAAAAAAAGUAGAAAAAGUCCUAAUCUUUUAGAGAGAAAGAAGAUUUUCAGGAAUUGAAGAUAAAUCGAAAUACUGUGAGGUGGGUCUCCGUCUAUGGAGGCGUCAAAGAAAAAAAAAGUAGAAAAAGUCUCUUCUAAUAUUGCUUAGAGAGAGAGACUUGCUCAGAGGGAAAGAUAGGGAGGAAAAGUACAGUAGAUUUAUACUUUUAAAGGAUUGCAGAGAGAGAGAGCCUGCAAAGUAAGCAAAAAAAAACAGCAAAAAAAAAAAACCAGAAAAAAUCCUUUCUAAUCUUUCCUAGAGAGAGAAAGAAGAGAGAGGAGGGGUCUAAGAAAUGGGGCACAAAAGAGAGAGAAGCAUAGUCCUUCAAGGAGAGAAAAGAAAUUAUAGAAAGCUUCUUCCUCUCUGUAUUAGAGAGAGAUCCGCAGUAAGGGUCUGAGGAAUGAAGAGAGAGAGAGAGAAGCUAGAUGGAGGGUCUGAGGAUAGGGUUUCUUCUAGAGAGAGAAAGAGAUGGGCUUGAUGGAGGUUCUGAGGAUUGGGUUUGUUCUAGAGAGAGAGGGAGAAAUGAAUUUCCUGCUCUCAGUAGAGAGAGAGAGAGAGAGAGAGAAAUGAAUUUCCUGUUCUCGGCAGAGAGAGAGAAUUGGUCUGAGGAUUGGGUCUCUUGUAUUGAUUGGGGAAGAGAGAGGGAAGGAGCGGGUCGGUCUCGGCUUUCCCCUGAGUUUAGAGAGAGAGAGAGAGAGAGAGAAUAUAUCCAGAGUUUAGAGAGAGAAUAUACCCAGAGUUUAGAGAGAGAAAAG